AUGAUGGCAGAGAGGUCACACCCGUUCCCAUACCGAACACGGAAGUUAAGCUCUCUAGCGCCGAUGGUAGUUGGGACCUUGUCCCUGUGAGAGUAGGACGUUGCCAAGCA
This 110-nucleotide ribosomal RNA is filed under the name Bacillus cereus BAG3X2-1. The record is from RNAcentral. Lineage: Bacteria; Bacillati; Bacillota; Bacilli; Caryophanales; Bacillaceae. RNAcentral also lists the same sequence under 2 other names.